CCUACGGGUGGCAGCAGUGAGGAAUAUUGGUCAAUGGUCGGGAGCCUGAACCAGCCAAGUCGCGUGAGGGACGACGGUCCUAUGUAUUGUAAACCUCUUUUGUCGGGGAACAAAGACUCCGACGCGUGGACGGAUGAGUGUACCCGAAGAAAAAGCAUCGGCUAACUCCGUGCCAGCAGCCGCGGUAAUACGGAGGAUGCGAGCGUUAUCCGGAUUUAUUGGGUUAAAAGGGUGCGUAGGCGGACUGUCAAGUCAGCGGUAAAAAUGCGGUGCUCAACGCCGUACAGCCGUUGAAACUGGCAGUCUCGAGUGGGCGAGAAGUAUGCGGAAUGCGCGGUGUAGCGGUGAAAUGCAUAGAUAUCACGCAGAACUCCGAUUGCGAAGGCAGCAUACCGGCGCCCGACUGACGCUGAGGCACGAAAGCGUGGGUAUCGAACAGGAUUAGAUACCCGUGUAGUC
Molecule: ribosomal RNA, 459 nt
Filed under: uncultured bacterium
Lineage: Bacteria
Description: partial 16S ribosomal RNA
Rfam family: Bacterial small subunit ribosomal RNA
Source: RNAcentral